This is a long non-coding RNA of Bos taurus (domestic cattle), 950 nucleotides long. The record is from Ensembl. Lineage: Eukaryota; Metazoa; Chordata; Mammalia; Artiodactyla; Bovidae.
GUGGUAGGCUAGCCGGCAAGGGGGAAAUAAGAUUGCGGAUGAAGAUACUAAACAUCUGACAUUAAAUUAAGGAGACUUAAAUGUAACACAAGGAUCUCUGAAUAUGGAAGAGGGAGGCAAAAGAGUCAGUGUCAGGCUUAUGCAGCAUGAAAGACCUGACUGGCCAGCAAUGGCUUUGGAGAUGGAAGGGGGCCAUGAACCAAGGAAUGUGGGCCAGUUUUAGAAGGAAAAGGAAACGAAGAGCAUUCUCCCCUAAAGCCCCCCGAGGGCACAAAGCUCUGCCAACACCCUCAUUUCAGCCCAGUGAGGCUCACGUCAAACUUAUGAACUCUAGGAUAAAUUAGUGCCGUAAUGUGCUACAGCUGCAGUAGGGAACUAAUACGAAGGGCACAGGCACAGUUUCGAGAGCUGCAAGUUUAAAGAGGGAAUUACCCAGGGGGAGGGACGGUCAAGCAGUGCCCAAGCAGAGGCACAAACCCAACACGGAGCUAACAGCAGAGAGAGAAGCCCAGGACGCGGCUCCCCCACGGAGCACAGAGGCAGGCGGUAGGCUCCCUGAAGUGGCAUUACGACCCGAGCUUCAAACCUGGCACCAUGUGGGGAGACAGCAGACCCCCACUGAAAAUGGCACCUUAAUUAGCCUCAGGAAGAGUUUGUUUUAUUUUGGCCACAGCUGUAACACCCACUGAGGCCAAACUAAAGUAGUGCAGGAGCUCGCCCUCUUCACAGCUGGGGGAAGACGGAAGUUCUUGGCAGGAGUGUGGAAGCUUGGAGAAAGCGAGGCCCUUGUCCUCAUUCAGGGAGCUGCUACCUCACUUCCAGGGAGGAAUACGUCCUCUAGGAAACACCAGAAGGGUUUCACGGAAUAGGAGCUGAGACUGCCACAUAGCCACUUGAGUUCUUCAUGCCGCUGAACCAGCAAGCAAAGAAGGGCACUGACUCCUGUACUG